AAAUAAGUUGAUUAAAACUUACCAAUGGAACAAAACUCAGAGAAACAGAUCCAUCGUUCUCCCUCUCUCCCAUCUUCCAAUCCCUAGCUCUGUAACUCUCAGCCGGCGCGCCUCCGUCAUUCCGCCGCCACCGGUAAAGGUCAUCGUUCCCCCUUCAUUAUCGAAACCCUCCACUCACGAUGUGUACGCACACUACCGUGGUGACGUCUCCAAGGCUCAUCGAUUGCUUCUUCGCUAAGCUCAGGGAGAAAGAGCUGUAUUGAGAUGAAUCAGGUUCAAAUCGACAAAUCGUUCAAUUCAAUAAAUCAGCCAGUAUCUUAAGUGCAAAACUGGAGAGGCAAUUACUUACUACAUUGGAAAUCAGACUUGUUUGAAAUGAAGAGACGAUUAAAUGAGGAAGAUAUGUACUACGCGCUGGUCUUUCAUUGUAGAAGAACAAUAGUGUUGACAACAUACUAGGCUAGCUAACAAGAUCAAUGCCACAUGAUAUAACAGUUAUUCCCGAGGAACGUGAAGCUAUAGAAAGGAAUAGGAGGGAAUCUAGCGCGUUAGCAUCAGAGUAGGGAGAACUGUGUUAUUGCUCCCAAAUGCCCUGUUACUGGAAAGAGAAUUCAAGAGAAAUACAUAAAGUGAAAUAGUCAAGGAUGUAGAGUGAAUAGCAAAAGGGGCUGCCCGGAUGGUUAUGUUUGCUAGCUGCUAAACCCUAAUGAUCUGAUUGAAUGACAAUCAUCCAAUUUGGCCUUAUCUGUUUUGUGAAGUUCAUUCGAAAACUCUUGAGGAAUGUUAACAGCGUGUGGAUUGCGGCCUAGCAAGGUGCAACUUCACUCACGAACAUAUCGUUUUGUAUGAAAACAGAGAAGCUGAACCAGGUCUGCUCCUUGGUGUCUAUGUAGCCAUUUUUAACACUAAUAUUAGUUAAGUUAGUGUUAGUUUGUGUUCUGUAUAAGGUAAAGGUCGAGUCUUGGUUAUAAGGCUCUACGUUUUCGAUGUAUGAAGAUAUUUGGUUGGUUGGUAAAGGUGAAAUCUUGCAGAAUUAAUGAUAGAUUUGGGAUA
Molecule: non-coding RNA, 1053 nt
Organism: Salvia hispanica
Lineage: Eukaryota; Viridiplantae; Streptophyta; Magnoliopsida; Lamiales; Lamiaceae
Source: RefSeq, a predicted model, not a curated record